AGUGGCGGACGGGUGAGUAACGCGUGAGAAUCUGCCUUGGGGUCGGGGACAACCACUGGAAACGGUGGCUAAUACCGGAUAAGCCGAUUGGUGAAAGAUUUAUUGCCCGAAGAGGAGCUCGCGUCUGAUUAGCUAGUUGGUGAGGUAAGAGCUCACCAAGGCAGCGAUCAGUAGCUGGUCUGAGAGGACGAUCAGCCACACUGGGACUGAGACACGGCCCAGACUCCUACGGGAGGCAGCAGUGGGGAAUUUUCCGCAAUGGGCGAAAGCCUGACGGAGCAAGACCGCGUGAGGGAGGAAGGCUCUUGGGUUGUAAACCUCUUUUCUCAGGGAAGAAGCUCUGACGGUACCUGAGGAAUCAGCCUCGGCUAACUCCGUGCCAGCAGCCGCGGUAAUACGGAGGAGGCAAGCGUUAUCCGGAAUUAUUGGGCGUAAAGCGUCCGCAGGUGGCGAUUCAAGUCUGCUGUCAAAGCACGGGGCUUAACUCCGUAAAGGCAGUGGAAACUGAAUAGCUAGAGUGCCGUAGGGGUAGAGGGAAUUCCCGGUGUAGCGGUGAAAUGCGUAGAGAUCGGGAAGAACAUCGGUGGCGAAAGCCCUCCACUGGACGGCAACUGACACUCAGGGACGAAAGCUAGGGGAGCGAAUGGGAUUAGAUACCCC
Molecule: ribosomal RNA, 660 nt
Filed under: uncultured bacterium
Lineage: Bacteria
Description: bacterial SSU rRNA
Rfam family: Bacterial small subunit ribosomal RNA
Source: RNAcentral